This 497-nucleotide ribosomal RNA is filed under the name uncultured bacterium. Its description in RNAcentral is "partial 16S ribosomal RNA". It matches the Rfam family "Bacterial small subunit ribosomal RNA", at positions 28 to 507 of the family's 1533-position model. The record is from RNAcentral.
GAUGAACGCUGGCGGCGUGCCUAAUACAUGCAAGUCGAGCGAACAGAUAAGGAGCUUGCGCCUUUGACGUUAGCGGCGGACGGGUGAGUAACACGUGUGUAACCUCCCUAUAAUACGGGAAUAACUCCGGGAAACCGGGGCUAAUGCCGUAGAACAUCCAGAACCGUAUGGUGCUAAAGAGAGAGAUGGUGGUGCUAGCAGGUAUAGAGGGACCCGGGCCGUAUUGGAUAGUUGGUAAGUUAACGGCUUACCAAGGCAACGAUAGGUAGCCGACCGGAGAGGGUGAUAGCCGACCCUGGAACUGAGCCACGGUCAAGACGACUACGGGAGGCACCAGUCGGGAACCGUCCGCAACGGGCGAAAGCAUGACGGAGCAACGCCGAGUGAGUGAUGACGGCCUUCGGAGCGUAAAACUGUGUUAUGAGGGAAGAACCGAUGUGUCAGUAACUGUGCACGUCGUGACGGUAACUAAUCAGAAAGCAACGGCUAACUACGUG